CAGCAGCCACGGUAAUACGAGGGGGGCAAGCGUUGUUCGGAAUUAUUGGGCGUAAAGGGUGCGUAGGCGGUUUGGCAAGUUUGGUGUGAAAUCUUUGGGCUCAACUCGAAGUCUGCAUCGAAAACUGCCGGGCUUGAGUAUGGGAGAGGUGAGUGGAAUUUCCGGUGUAGCGGUGAAAUGCGUAGAUAUCGGAAGGAACACCUGUGGCGAAAGCGGCUCACUGGACCAUAACUGACGCUGAUGCACGAAAGCUAGGGGAGCAAACAGGAUUAGAUACCCCAGUAGUCCCUGUCUCUUAUAU
RNAcentral lists this ribosomal RNA (301 nucleotides) under uncultured bacterium. RNAcentral describes it as "partial 16S ribosomal RNA". It matches the Rfam family "Bacterial small subunit ribosomal RNA", at positions 509 to 809 of the family's 1533-position model. The record is from RNAcentral.